This 1441-nucleotide ribosomal RNA is filed under the name uncultured organism. RNAcentral's name for it is "SSU rRNA". It matches the Rfam family "Bacterial small subunit ribosomal RNA". The record is from RNAcentral.
GAUGAACGCUAGCUACAGGCUUAACACAUGCAAGUCGAGGGGCAGCAUGGUCUUAGCUUGCUAAGGCCGAUGGCGACCGGCGCACGGGUGAGUAACACGUAUCCAACCUGCCGUCUACUCUUGGACAGCCUUCUGAAAGGAAGAUUAAUACAAGAUGGCAUCAUGAGUCCACAUGUUCACAUGAUUAAAGGUAUUCCGGUAGACGAUGGGGAUGCGUUCCAUUAGAUAGUAGGCGGGGUAACGGCCCACCUAGUCUUCGAUGGAUAGGGGUUCUGAGAGGAAGGUCCCCCACAUUGGAACUGAGACACGGUCCAAACUCCUACGGGAGGCAGCAGUGAGGAAUAUUGGUCAAUGGGCGAGAGCCUGAACCAGCCAAGUAGCGUGAAGGAUGACUGCCCUAUGGGUUGUAAACUUCUUUUAUAAAGGAAUAAAGUCGGGUAUGCAUACCCGUUUGCAUGUACUUUAUGAAUAAGGAUCGGCUAACUCCGUGCCAGCAGCCGCGGUAAUACGGAGGAUCCGAGCGUUAUCCGGAUUUAUUGGGUUUAAAGGGAGCGUAGAUGGAUGUUUAAGUCAGUUGUGAAAGUUUGCGGCUCAACCGUAAAAUUGCAGUUGAUACUGGAUAUCUUGAGUGCAGUUGAGGCAGGCGGAAUUCGUGGUGUAGCGGUGAAAUGCUUAGAUAUCACGAAGAACUCCGAUUGCGAAGGCAGCCUGCUAAGCUGCAACUGACAUUGAGGCUCGAAAGUGUGGGUAUCAAACAGGAUUAGAUACCCUGGUAGUCCACACGGUAAACGAUGAAUACUCGCUGUUUGCGAUAUACAGCAAGCGGCCAAGCGAAAGCGUUAAGUAUUCCACCUGGGGAGUACGCCGGCAACGGUGAAACUCAAAGGAAUUGACGGGGGCCCGCACAAGCGGAGGAACAUGUGGUUUAAUUCGAUGAUACGCGAGGAACCUUACCCGGGCUUAAAUUGCAGAUGAAUUACGGUGAAAGCCGUAAGCCGCAAGGCAUCUGUGAAGGUGCUGCAUGGUUGUCGUCAGCUCGUGCCGUGAGGUGUCGGCUUAAGUGCCAUAACGAGCGCAACCCUUGUUGUCAGUUACUAACAGGUCAUGCUGAGGACUCUGACAAGACUGCCAUCGUAAGAUGUGAGGAAGGUGGGGAUGACGUCAAAUCAGCACGGCCCUUACGUCCGGGGCUACACACGUGUUACAAUGGGGGGUACAGAGGGCCGCUACCACGCGAGUGGAUGCCAAUCCCAAAAACCUCUCUCAGUUCGGACUGGAGUCUGCAACCCGACUCCACGAAGCUGGAUUCGCUAGUAAUCGCGCAUCAGCCACGGCGCGGUGAAUACGUUCCCGGGCCUUGUACACACCGCCCGUCAAGCCAUGGGAGCCGGGGGUACCUGAAGUGCGUAACCGCGAGGAGCGCCCUAGGGUAAAACUGGUG